UACGGAGGAUGCAAGCGUUGUCCGGAAUGAUUGGGCGUAAAGCGUCCGCAGGUGGCACUGUAAGUCUGCUGUUAAAGAGCAAGGCUCAACCUUGUAAAGGCAGUGGAAACUACAGAGCUAGAGUACGUUCGGGGCAGAGGGAAUUCCUGGUGUAGCGGUGAAAUGCGUAGAGAUCAGGAAGAACACCGGUGGCGAAAGCGCUCUGCUAGGCCGUAACUGACACUGAGGGACGAAAGCUAGGGGAGCGAAUGGG
RNAcentral lists this ribosomal RNA (253 nucleotides) under uncultured bacterium. RNAcentral describes it as "partial 16S ribosomal RNA". It matches the Rfam family "Bacterial small subunit ribosomal RNA", at positions 524 to 776 of the family's 1533-position model. The record is from RNAcentral.